Molecule: ribosomal RNA, 458 nt
Filed under: uncultured bacterium
Lineage: Bacteria
Description: partial 16S ribosomal RNA
Rfam family: Bacterial small subunit ribosomal RNA
Source: RNAcentral
CCUACGGGUGGCAGCAGUGGGGAAUAUUGCGCAAUGGGGGAAAGCCUGAUGCAGCGACGCCGCGUGAGUGAAGAAGGAAUUCGUUACGUAAAGCUCUGUCAGCAGGGAAGAAAUACUGACCUUACAGUCAGCAGACGGUACCUGAGUAAGAAGACGCGACUAACUACGUGCCAGCAGCCGCGGUAAUACGUAGUGGGCAAGCGUUAUCCGGAUUUACUGGGUGUAAAGGGGGCGUAGACGGUACGCCAAGUGUGGAGUGAAAUGACGCAGCUUAACGGCGGAACUGCUUUGGAAACUGGCGAACUAGAGUGUGUGAGGGGUAAGCGGAAUUCCAAGUGUAGGAGUGAAAUGCGUAGAUAUCAGGAGGAACACCAGUGGCGAAGGCGACUUACUGGACCAUAACUGACGUUGAGGCUCGAAAGCGUGGGGAGCAAACAGGAUUAGAUACCCUAGUAGUC